UAACUAUUCUUUGGUCACAGCCUAGUCGUUUUACGUGACCAUCUAGUCAUCCACCCUCCACGUGCAAUUGGAACCCUAAUCCAUCACCUGCUACGAUAAGUUCAACUUCAUCGCUUAUCCAUUUUUGAGAAAAUUUGGAUAAUAUGCAAUAUCCACUGUUCAUCAACAUCGGUUGAAGCUCGUCUUGGUUUGACCUGUGCAAAGUGUUGCAGCUGCUCAAACUUCAAAACUGCUUUAAGACCACCCGUAGGGGGGGGUUAGCAUUUUUCUCAAAAAACGGCCAAACAGGCCUUGGGACCGCCCCCGGGAGCAUUUUUCUUGAAAAAAUGGGGUGUGCCAAGUUACUUUGGUAGCUGCUGUUUUUAAUUUCAAGGUUUGUGAUGUGACUAAGUGAUGCAGAUGUGAUUUGUUUUGUCCUGAGGGUUCGAACCUUAGUAACAUCGCCACGAGAAUACUGUAUUGGUAACAAGAUCAUUUGGUACAUGUCCAUUAUUAUCACUCUUUGCGUAUUGUUUUAUGAAAGCCUAACAAUUUUUAUUAGCAACAAAAACCCUGGGUAGCUGGGAUCACCCAGCACACCUGCCUAGAGGAAACCCACAAUCUCCAAAAACUACAACAGUACAACUACAAACAUCUAGUUGGUUUUGCUACUGUUUCAUUGAUGGUCAAGAGAGUCGAAGCCAUGUGAGAGUUCGAACCCACCACCAGCCAACUGUUGAAACUCCCGCUCGCUAUUGUCCCUUUUGUGCCUGAAGAUGUUGUUGUCUUUGUUGUUGGUGCCCUCUCCGGUGCUACUGCCAAAAUAAUUAUUGCCCAUCUUGACCGGAUUAAACUCACCUUGCAGUUUAUCAUUUGAUGAAGUUGCAAAUUAUAACUUUAUUUCAGCAGUCCAAGGUUUGGGUAUGUUUAUAGAGCUGGUUUUCAAUUUGAUACAGGGAUUAUGCUUUUGCAAUGUUAUAAGAGGUUGGUUGUUGUUAUGGCUGGUGAGUUAAAUAUGUUGGGGGAGGAGUAUGAUUAUUGGCAUGAAGUUGCUGCUUAGAAUGAAUAUUUAAGCAUGGGUUCGGUUUGGCUUGGUUUGGUUUUAGUUUCCAACGGUUCAGUUUCGGAAUCAAACCGUAAACACCCCUAGUGGGUAUGGUUAGUUGUAUUGGUUGGAUGUGCUAAAAGGUUGCUGAUUGGGGCUGCUAUGGGGGAAUAGAGGUCAAGACUACUAGGAAGUUUGAAGAGAAGAUUUAUCUCUUAUAAGUUCGGUUAAUUUUUUUUAUUAUUGUUUGUUUCUCUGUUUGGGUGCUUUUAAGAGGUUAAUGAUUCCAGUUCUACCCCUCUUGUAAGGUAAAAAGAAUGUAGCAUAUCGUCCAAUUUUUUAUGAAUGGGCCGUUUGGGUUGUAUUCUUUUCUAACGGGUCAUAUGUAUUCUUUGUGUAGCGUGUAUUAUUUUAUUUUAUUAUAAACAAAAAUCAAACACGUGUAUUAUUUUUUUUAUUA
Long non-coding RNA from Helianthus annuus (common sunflower), 1484 nucleotides. RefSeq lists it as uncharacterized. The transcript is spliced from 5 exons. NCBI's taxonomy places the organism in Eukaryota, Viridiplantae, Streptophyta, Magnoliopsida, Asterales, Asteraceae. The record is from RefSeq and is a predicted model, not a curated record.